CACUCGUUCUGCCUGCAUUGUCUUUGUGUCACACCGGCUUAUGUCUCGUUCUGACCAUAGAUCUGGACUUGGCUGGCUUUAAGUUCAUCCGAGCCCAGCUGAUGAGAUGCUCAAGGCCUGGGACUGAUGUUGUAGUCACAGUCAGAUCAUCCAUAAAUGCUCUGAUGGGAGGCUGCCUGAGUCGGAAGAAAAAUCACGACGAACACGCACAUCCCAAAUGGCGACAAGGGAGUCGGAGAAGAGAAGAAGGAAUAUUCAAAUGGGCAAUAAAUAAAUACCUAUCUCUUACGAUUUUUCUUUUAGCGAUGUAGAAACCCACAAUGCAUCUACUUGGUCACAUUUCUACAAAUGUAUGCAUUUGGAUUGUCAUGAUCCGUGGUCCGGAUCAUGUUUUUGUAUUUUCUGUUAGUUUUGGACUCCUUUAGUUCCUGUUUGUGACACCUGAGUUUGGUUUGGUUGCCAUGGCUGCUUAUUGUUUUCACCUGCCUCUGGUGUUCGGGACGCUCAGCUGUCUCUAAUCAGAGGCAUUAUUUAAGCCUGCCUUUGCCAGUCAGUCGGCCUGGCGUCAUUGUUCGCUUCAUGCCUUGUAUACGUAAGUCUUGUUUAUUUCAUGCCCCAGU
Long non-coding RNA from Nerophis lumbriciformis (worm pipefish), 620 nucleotides. RefSeq lists it as uncharacterized. The record is from RefSeq and is a predicted model, not a curated record. Lineage: Eukaryota; Metazoa; Chordata; Actinopteri; Syngnathiformes; Syngnathidae.